GUGUGUGAUCCCUCCAGGUUCAGAGUUUCGUCUCCGAGAACUCUGCAAGGAGCUGCUCGGUCCCGUCCACAAAUCAGCAGCGACAGCCUGGGAGCCCACCACUCUGGGUCUACGUAAGCGCGAGUUGUUGCGGGAAGUCUUACCUGUCAUCGUUGAAAACCUGCGAUUCCAGAGACUGUUCACCGAAUACCAGGACCAGCUGGAGCUACUGCGCAACAAAUAACACACACUGCUGCCCACACACACUGACAACACACAUGCCUGGACUCUCAUGAAACCAGUUUGGUUCUUCCAGUUCAACUCGGGUGAACUCUGACUGCUUAUCGUCAACUGAAGAAGCUUGAAACGCUGUUUGGGCUGAAAGCUGCAAAACAGAAAAACUUCAUUCACGGCAAGUCCACAACUUUCAAAGUUUGGGGACUUUCAGUGCUGUCGCUCACUGGGAAGAAGUGGCGGGUGAUUUGGAUUUUUUUCUUAUCACAAUCUUAGUUCCAACUCACGUGUUCGGUCGUUUUCUGUUUUUUUUAACCUAUGCACCUCUCUCCUGCGCUCCUUACCAUGGACUAAAAAAUAUUUAAUUAAGAGAGGUUGUGUUACAAAUGUUGCUGGUUGGAUCCCUGCAGCUCGAUAAAUCUUUCUCAAGUCUGUUUCGCUCCUCCGACAGAGUGAGCAGAGGUGAGACACUGAAAAAGAAAAUAGAAUAAAUCAAAAUGGAUGUAAAGGAGAAAUAUGCUUGUACCAAAGUGAUGCCUUCAAGUGUAAAAAUAACCACACAACUCCAUCUGCAAAGUGAAGGAAAUGAAGGGCAUCCUUAAAAAAAGGUUCAAAUGGGUUUUUAAAGGCUGAUGGGUGAAGUUUUCUGAGUGUUCUGGCUGAAAAAAUGCCAAUGCCAACAUUUGAAGUCACAGGUCACCGCGAAGAAGAUAAUCAAACUUAUGACACCACUGGAAAUGUAAAGGUAUAUUCAGAGAUACAGGAUGGACCUCGAUUUUUAAGGGAUGCCUUUUUUGCAGCUAAUCCUAACCCAUGAGAGCAUUCACUCCAGUCAAAGAGCACUUCAAGCAUGUGCACAAAGAGGAAGCACUGCAGAAUUUACGGUGACCGACGACCGCCCAAAACGAUGCAAUAAAAAAAACACAAAUGUGCCAAAACAUGCGCAAAUUAAAAAACAUCUUCACCAAGUUGACGAAACUUGCGCAGCCUUUACUAAAAGCACUGCAUAAAUGAAACGCUGCAAAUAAAAAACAAUGUAAGAAGCUCAAAACACAACAGAAACGGGGACAGUAAAAAGUGAUGCACACAGCUGGGACCAGAGCAUGUGUUGACUUUUGAGGAUUAUAAAGUUGGCCAACUGUGACUGGAAACUUACCUCAAAUGUGCAAAUGUGUAUUAGCUUAUUUAAAAAAUGCGAUCACAGGAAUCCUUCUGAUAUUAUUGCAGAUCUGCUGUCAGCUAGCUAGCUAACCUAGUUAUUUCAUUUAUACUGACAAAACACUUACAAUCGUGAAACAGGCUAACUCGGCCAACAGUGACAGUUGGCCAACUUUAUAAUCCCUGAACAUCAACAAGUGCUCAGGUCCCAGCUCUGCGUCACCUUUGAGUGUGCCUGUUUUCGUUGUGUUUUGAGCUUCUUCCCGAAUUUAGUUUGAGCUGCUUUUUGAGUAAAUACUGCUCAUGUCUUUCUUCAUUUACAUGUGUUUUGGCUCAUUUACCUUUUUAUUUGCAUAGUUUUUGAACCCCUUUCUCCUAAUGGAAGUGUUUUGGGCUGUUGUAGUGUGAUUGCAGAGGUCAACCGCCGUAGAAUUUAGACUAAAGAAACAAAACACAAGUAAGGAAAUAUUAACCCAGUUUGAACAAAAGUAAGAAAGCACGAUGGCAGUGCAGGAAUCCAUCUUUAGAUGUCACAUUUUGAUCUGCGACAAAGGUAGACAGAAGUACAAUCUUUGGAUGCAAGUUACCAUUAUUUGAAAUAACUAAAUGUUUCACACAUUGUUAUCUUUGCUUUUUACCUCAACUUUAUAAGCGCCUAAUCAAGAUUAUACAUUUUGAUUAUUUGUCAAAGAAAAAGCAUUUAACAUGAGUGUGCAUGAAAAGUCCGAUUUUUAUUGUGUUGGAUGAAUGAAUGUAGAUCUGCAGGCUUAACCAUUACUUAACCUCCAUCAUGAAGUCUCAGAAUAAAUCAUAUUUACUGUAGGCUUAGAAAAAGAAAUUAGCUGAAUUGCUCAGCAAGACGGGAAUGAUCUUGUUAAGUACACACAGGUUUAACAAAAGCUCGACAAUGAAUCUAGUAAAGUAAACUCGUGCCACCGUUACAUCCGUACAUAAUUAUUGUAAAUAUCAGCAGCUGCCUGAGGACAUUUGCUGAUGAAAAACUCAUUUUUGCAGAUCUUCAAGGCAUAUCAUGUGUAUGAAACAGAUCUUUGGGGUAAUAAAAAAGCUCUCGUGUGUCAGAUUCACGAAAUCUGAUUUAAAAAAAAAAAAAAAAAGAAAAAAAAAAAGGCUAAUAUGAUCCACUUUUUGAACGGCUGUGAUCAGACAUGGUGAACGGAUAAUGUUAUAUUUAUAUAUUUUGGUCUGUUUCAAUUCCUAUAUCUUGUAAAUACACCAAGUCUAAUUGCUGAACCAUUGGUUUACAUUUUCUCUCUGUUGCCGGGCAAGAAACACCCCAAAAAUGUUUUUCAGGACAGAGGGAUUUUCUUUUGUCUCACAUGCAUUAACUUGACAUUUUUACAGGUUUCAAAAGCACAGCGGUCAUGAAACCUCAUUGGACUUCUCUUGGAUAAAAAGUACUUGUUUAGCCUUUAGAAGUGCACUCCUCUGCCAAUUCAGUGUCUACAUAACAGUAGAGAGUGAGCUUAUGCUUGCUGUAUCUGACAGUGUGGAGACACGCAGACCAGAGGAAGAAUUCAUCUCUAUCAAUCUGUACAGCAUUUAUUUUUCCUUUUUUUCCCCGCUGUAAGUCAUUUUUAAAUGUUUGUACAAGCUAUUUUUUUUUUCAUUUUCUAUAAGAAAAAAAGAAAAAGAUUGAGAAGAGCUGAAUUGUUGCUUUUGAGGAAAGAAUGUGAAAAAUAAAUGAGGAACAGUUGGGGUUUGGUAAUUUC
Molecule: long non-coding RNA, 3101 nt
Organism: Notothenia coriiceps (black rockcod)
Lineage: Eukaryota; Metazoa; Chordata; Actinopteri; Perciformes; Nototheniidae
Exons: 2
Source: RefSeq, a predicted model, not a curated record